UGAACGCUGGCGGCGUGCCUACUACAUGCACGUCGAGCGAACAGACGCGGAGCUUGCUCCUCUGACGUUAGCGGCGGACGGGUGAGUAACACGUGGAUAACCUACCUAUAAGACUGGGAUAACUUCGGGAAACCGGAGCUAAUACCGGAUAAUAUAUUGAACCGCAUGGUUCAAUAGUGAAAGACGGUUUUGCUGUCACUUAUAGAUGGAUCCGCGCCGCAUUAGCUAGUUGGUAAGGUAACGGCUUACCAAGGCGACGAUGCGUAGCCGACCUGAGAGGGUGAUCGGCCACACUGGAACUGAGACACGGUCCAGACUCCUACGGGAGGCAGCAGUAGGGAAUCUUCCGCAAUGGGCGAAAGCCUGACGGAGCAACGCCGCGUGAGUGAUGAAGGUCUUCGGAUCGUAAAACUCUGUUAUUAGGGAAGAACAAAUGUGUAAGUAACUAUGCACGUCUUGACGGUACCUAAUCAGAAAGCCACGGCUAACUACGUG
Molecule: ribosomal RNA, 495 nt
Filed under: uncultured bacterium
Lineage: Bacteria
Description: partial 16S ribosomal RNA
Rfam family: Bacterial small subunit ribosomal RNA
Source: RNAcentral